UCUCCGUUGGUGAACCAGCGGGGGGAUCAUUACCGAGUGCAAACUCAUAACCCUUUGUGAACCUAUAUCUGUUGCUUCGGCGGCUCGCUCUCGGGCGAGCCCGCCGGUAAUAUCAGUAUCUCUGUUUGAACCCGACGAUACUUCUGAGUGUUCUUAGCGAACAGUUAAAACUUUUAACAACGGAUCUCUUGGCUCUAGCAUCGAUGAAGACGCAGC
RNAcentral lists this unclassified non-coding RNA (216 nucleotides) under plant metagenome. RNAcentral describes it as "partial contains small subunit ribosomal RNA, internal transcribed spacer 1, and 5.8S ribosomal RNA". The stretch from base 169 to 216 matches the Rfam family "5.8S ribosomal RNA", at positions 1 to 49 of the family's 154-position model. The record is from RNAcentral.